RNAcentral lists this long non-coding RNA (1058 nucleotides) under Lactuca sativa (garden lettuce). Its description in RNAcentral is "long non-coding RNA (LSAT_LNC008340)". Lineage: Eukaryota; Viridiplantae; Streptophyta; Magnoliopsida; Asterales; Asteraceae. The record is from RNAcentral.
UCCUCUAGUAAAGACUCCUAUUUAUAGGAGAACAAAGCAUACAAAAAAUAUAUACUAAGGACUAAGCGUGAAGCGCACUGAAUACAUUUCCUUAGUAAAAUAAAUACAUAACAUACGAAGACAUGAAACCCUUCGUAUGACAACCUACACCUUUCGACUUAUUACAACAUUUUUAUUCUUACAGUUUCGAGAGUAGGUAAAGGGAGUGAUGGAGGCUGGGGUGGAGGCCUGAAAUGAUGCUUAAAUAGGGUACCAAGUCUGGAAAUUAGGAUUUUUCAAUCCAGACCAGACUCGCCGAGUCGGUCACUUGAUCCGCGACACGGGUCACGCUCCGACAAGUCGAGUUCCUCCUUGGACUCGACGAGUUGACUCCUUUGACUUAUGGAUUUUCUUUCCUUUCCUGGUCUUCCUGAUUUUGAGUGUUACAUUCAAGUUCAAUCGUCUCAUCUUCCAUUUCAAUAUAGUCAUUCGUUUUUGACAUCUACAAACAGAAAACAGUUAAAAACAUGAAAAAAAUAGAAACGGGAAAAAUAACUAAAAAAACCUAAGCAUAGGAGUACAUGGAUAACACAACUUUGCAAAAAACGGAAAACAAUUGCUAACUUUAUAUAUGUCUUUAUUAUUGUAUUUAUUAUUGUAAUGAUAAGAAUUAAAGAAAAUCAAGGUCGUCUAGAAAACCAGUAGAAUGAACUCGGGUUGACGGGUAACGAAAUUGAGAAAGAAAAAACUCACUAAAGAGAUCGAAGAGGUGUGACAUUUUAUAAGCUUUCAACUCUAUAAGCACUAAACAUUAUACAAAACUAUAGUUUUUCACCUCUUGUGCUAAUGGCCUCUGAUGAACAAAGGAAUAUAAAGAAAAUCAAGGUCGUCUAGAAAACCAGUAGAAUGAACUCGGGUUGACGGGUAACGAAAUUGAGAAAGAAAAAACUCACUAAAGAGAUCGAAGAGGUGUGACAUUUUAUAAGCUUUCAACUCUAUAAGCACUAAACAUUAUACAAAACUAUAGUUUUUCACCUCUUGUGCUAAUGGCCUCUGAUGAACAAAGGAAUAUCUUGUNN